UGCAGUCGAGCGGAAACGAGUUAUCAGAACCUUCGGGGGACGAUAACGGCGUCGAGCGGCGGACGGGUGAGUAAUGCCUAGGAAAUUGCCCUGAUGUGGGGGAUAACCAUUGGAAACGAUGGCUAAUACCGCAUGAUGCCUACGGGCCAAAGAGGGGGACCUUCGGGCCUCUCGCGUCAGGAUAUGCCUAGGUGGGAUUAGCUAGUUGGUGAGGUAAGGGCUCACCAAGGCGACGAUCCCUAGCUGGUCUGAGAGGAUGAUCAGCCACACUGGAACUGAGACACGGUCCAGACUCCUACGGGAGGCAGCAGUGGGGAAUAUUGCACAAUGGGCGCAAGCCUGAUGCAGCCAUGCCGCGUGUGUGAAGAAGGCCUUCGGGUUGUAAAGCACUUUCAGUCGUGAGGAAGGUAGUGUAGUUAAUAGCUGCAUUAUUUGACGUUAGCGACAGAAGAAGCACCGGCUAACUCCGUGCCAGCAGCCGCGGUAAUACGGAGGGUGCGAGCGUUAAUCGGAAUUACUGGGCGUAAAGCGCAUGCAGGUGGUUUGUUAAGUCAGAUGUGAAAGCCCGGGGCUCAACCUCGGAAUUGCAUUUGAAACUGGCAGACUAGAGUACUGUAGAGGGGGGUAGAAUUUCAGGUGUAGCGGUGAAAUGCGUAGAGAUCUGAAGGAAUACCGGUGGCGAAGGCGGCCCCCUGGACAGAUACUGACACUCAGAUGCGAAAGCGUGGGGAGCAAACAGGAUUAGAUACCCUGGUAGUCCACGCCGUAAACGAUGUCUACUUGGAGGUUGUGGCCUUGAGCCGUGGCUUUCGGAGCUAACGCGUUAAGUAGACCGCCUGGGGAGUACGGUCGCAAGAUUAAAACUCAAAUGAAUUGACGGGGGCCCGCACAAGCGGUGGAGCAUGUGGUUUAAUUCGAUGCAACGCGAAGAACCUUACCUACUCUUGACAUCCAGAGAACUUUCCAGAGAUGGAUUGGUGCCUUCGGGAACUCUGAGACAGGUGCUGCAUGGCUGUCGUCAGCUCGUGUUGUGAAAUGUUGGGUUAAGUCCCGCAACGAGCGCAACCCUUAUCCUUGUUUGCCAGCGAGUAAUGUCGGGAACUCCAGGGAGACUGCCGGUGAUAAACCGGAGGAAGGUGGGGACGACGUCAAGUCAUCAUGGCCCUUACGAGUAGGGCUACACACGUGCUACAAUGGCGCAUACAGAGGGCGGCCAACUUGCGAAAGUGAGCGAAUCCCAAAAAGUGCGUCGUAGUCCGGAUUGGAGUCUGCAACUCGACUCCAUGAAGUCGGAAUCGCUAGUAAUCGUGGAUCAGAAUGCCACGGUGAAUACGUUCCCGGGCCUUGUACACACCGCCCGUCACACCAUGGGAGUGGGCUGCAAAAGAAGUAGGUAGUUUAACCUUCGGGGGGACGCU
RNAcentral lists this ribosomal RNA (1418 nucleotides) under Vibrio parahaemolyticus. RNAcentral describes it as "bacterial SSU rRNA". It matches the Rfam family "Bacterial small subunit ribosomal RNA". The record is from RNAcentral. Lineage: Bacteria; Pseudomonadati; Pseudomonadota; Gammaproteobacteria; Vibrionales; Vibrionaceae.